Molecule: ribosomal RNA, 252 nt
Filed under: uncultured bacterium
Lineage: Bacteria
Description: partial 16S ribosomal RNA
Rfam family: Bacterial small subunit ribosomal RNA
Source: RNAcentral
ACAGAGGGUGCAAACGUUGUUCGGAAUCACUGGGCAUAAAGCGCACGUAGGCGGCGAGUCAAGUGCAGGGUGAAAUCCCACGGCUUACCCGUGGAACUGCUUUGCAUACUGUCUUGCUCGAGUAUGGUAGGGGAGAGCGGAACUCUUGGUGGAGCGGUGAAAUGCGUAGAUAUCAAGAGGAACACCAAAGGCGAAGGCAGCUCUCUGGUCCAUGACUGACGCUGAGGUGCGAAAGCUAGGGUAGCGAACGGG